GCUCGGUGGUCUAGUGUUUAGAGCGUCCGCCUCGGAUGCAGGAGGUUGUGGGUUCGAACCCCAUCCGAAUCA
Potamilus streckersoni is the source of this 72-nucleotide non-coding RNA. NCBI's taxonomy places the organism in Eukaryota, Metazoa, Mollusca, Bivalvia, Unionida, Unionidae. The record is from the annotation of a GenBank genome assembly.